Molecule: non-coding RNA, 92 nt
Organism: Acanthosepion pharaonis
Lineage: Eukaryota; Metazoa; Mollusca; Cephalopoda; Sepiida; Sepiidae
Source: the annotation of a GenBank genome assembly
GCGUCGAAACAUCGAUUCCCGUACGAUCAACGAAGUUAAGCAUCAUCGACCUUGGGUAGUACUUAAAUGGGUAAACGCUUGGGAAUACCACG